UACGUAGGGGGCAAGCGUUGUCCGGAUUUAUUGGGCGUAAAGAGCGUGUAGGCGGCUGGAUAGGUCCGUUGUGAAAACUCGAGGCUCAACCUCGAGACGCCGAUGGAAACCAUCCAGCUAGAGUCCGGAAGAGGAGAGUGGAAUUCCUGGUGUAGCGGUGAAAUGCGCAGAUAUCAGGAAGAACACCAAUGGCGAAAGCAGCUUUCUGGGACGGUACUGACGCUGAGACGCGAAAGCGUGGGGAGCGAACAGG
This 253-nucleotide ribosomal RNA is filed under the name uncultured bacterium. RNAcentral's name for it is "partial 16S ribosomal RNA". It matches the Rfam family "Bacterial small subunit ribosomal RNA", at positions 524 to 776 of the family's 1533-position model. The record is from RNAcentral.